Molecule: ribosomal RNA, 902 nt
Filed under: Stemphylium sp. DV-2018a
Lineage: Eukaryota; Fungi; Ascomycota; Dothideomycetes; Pleosporales; Pleosporaceae
Description: LSU rRNA
Rfam family: Eukaryotic large subunit ribosomal RNA
Source: RNAcentral
AGAGAACAACAGGGAUUGCCCUAGUAACGGCGAGUGAAGCGGCAACAGCUCAAAUUUGAAAUCUGGCUCUUUUAGGGUCCGAGUUGUAAUUUGCAGAGGGCGCUUUGGCUUUGGCAGCGGUCCAAGUUCCUUGGAACAGGACGUCACAGAGGGUGAGAAUCCCGUACGUGGUCGCUAGCUAUUGCCGUGUAAAGCCCCUUCGACGAGUCGAGUUGUUUGGGAAUGCAGCUCUAAAUGGGAGGUAAAUUUCUUCUAAAGCUAAAUAUUGGCCAGAGACCGAUAGCGCACAAGUAGAGUGAUCGAAAGAUGAAAAGCACUUUGGAAAGAGAGUCAAACAGCACGUGAAAUUGUUGAAAGGGAAGCGCUUGCAGCCAGACUUGCUUGCAGUUGCUCAUCCGGGCUUUUGCCCGGUGCACUCUUCUGUAGGCAGGCCAGCAUCAGUUUGGGCGGUGGGAUAAAGGUCUCUGUCACGUACCUCUCUUCGGGGAGGCCUUAUAGGGGAGGCGACAUACCACCAGCCUAGACUGAGGUCCGCGCAUCUGCUAGGAUGCUGGCGUAAUGGCUGUAAGCGGCCCGUCUUGAAACACGGACCAAGGAGUCUAACAUCUAUGCGAGUGUUUGGGUGUCAAGCCCGAGCGCGUAAUGAAAGUGAACGGAGGUGGGAACCCGCAAGGGUGCACCAUCGACCGAUCCUGAAGUUUUCGGAAGGAUUUGAGUAAGAGCAUGGCUGUUGGGACCCGAAAGAUGGUGAACUAUGCUUGAAUAGGGUGAAGCCAGAGGAAACUCUGGUGGAGGCUCGCAGCGGUUCUGACGUGCAAAUCGAUCGUCAAAUUUGGGCAUAGGGGCGAAAGACUAAUCGAACUAUCUAGUAGCUGGUUCCUGCCGAAUUUCCCCCUCGGGAA